This 253-nucleotide unclassified non-coding RNA is filed under the name uncultured Rhodospirillales bacterium. RNAcentral describes it as "contains 16S-23S intergenic spacer region". It matches the Rfam family "Bacterial small subunit ribosomal RNA", at positions 524 to 776 of the family's 1533-position model. Lineage: Bacteria; Pseudomonadati; Pseudomonadota; Alphaproteobacteria; Rhodospirillales. The record is from RNAcentral.
UACGAAGGGUGCAAACGUUGUUCGGAAUUACUGGGCGUAAAGGGCGCGCAGGCGGUUUCGCCAGUCAGAUGUGAAAGCCCCGGGCUUAACCUGGGAACUGCAUUUGAUACUGCGAGACUAGAGUUCGGGAGAGGGUAGUGGAAUUCCCAGUGUAGAGGUGAAAUUCGUAGAUAUUGGGAAGAACACCAGUGGCGAAGGCGGCUACCUGGACCGAGACUGACGCUGAGGCGCGAAAGCGUGGGGAGCAAACAGG